GAUGAACGCUGGCGGCGUGCCUAAUACAUGCAAGUCGAGCGAACAGACGAGGAGCUUGCGGCUCUGACGUGAGCGGCGGGCGGGUGAGUAACACGUGUAUAACCUACCUAUAAGACUGGGAUAACUUCGGGAAACCGGAGCUAAUACCGGAUAAUAUAUUGAACCGCAUGGUUCAAUAGUGAAAGACGGUUUUGCUGGCACUUAUAGAUGGAUCCGCGCCGCUUUAGGUAGUUGGUAAGGUAACGGCUUACCAAGGCGAGGAGGCGUAGCCGACCUCCUAGGGGGAUCGCCCACCUGGGAGCUGGGCCGCCGUCCAGACUCCUACGGGAGGCAGCAGUAGCGUACCGUCCGCAAUGGGCGGAAGCCUGACGGAGCAACGCCACGUGAGUGAUGGAGGUCUUCGGUUCGUAAAACUCGGUUAUUAGGGGUGAACAAAUUUGUAAGUAACUGUGCACGUCUUGACGGUACCUAGUCAGAAAGCCCCGGCUAACUACGUG
This 497-nucleotide ribosomal RNA is filed under the name uncultured bacterium. RNAcentral's name for it is "partial 16S ribosomal RNA". It matches the Rfam family "Bacterial small subunit ribosomal RNA", at positions 28 to 507 of the family's 1533-position model. The record is from RNAcentral.